RNAcentral lists this non-coding RNA (111 nucleotides) under Erythrobacter longus. Its description in RNAcentral is "TPP sequence". It matches the Rfam family "TPP riboswitch aptamer (THI element)". From Rfam's summary of the family: Vitamin B(1) in its active form thiamin pyrophosphate (TPP) is an essential coenzyme that is synthesised by coupling of pyrimidine and thiazole moieties in bacteria. The previously detected thiamin-regulatory element, thi box was extended, resulting in a new, highly conserved RNA secondary structure, the THI element, which is widely distributed in eubacteria and also occurs in some archaea. The record is from Rfam by way of RNAcentral. Lineage: Bacteria; Pseudomonadati; Pseudomonadota; Alphaproteobacteria; Sphingomonadales; Erythrobacteraceae.
AUCCCAUCCCCGGGGAGCGAGCUUUUCGCUGAGAGGGGCGGGAUAAGCGCCGCCUGACCCGUUGAACCUGAACCUGUUAACACAGGCGGAGGGAGCGGGCCUGGCUUCGAC